GGGUGCGGAACACGUACGCAAACUUCCUUUAAGCGGGGAAUAGACCAGGCAAACUUGGAUUAAUACCCCAUAAGAUUAUGGUGUGGCAUCACACAGUACUUAAAGCUCCGGCACUUAACGAUGGGCGUGCGGCUGAUUAGGUCGUUGGCGGGGUAACGGCCCAACAAGCCUACGAUCAGUAACAGGUGUGAGAGCACGACCAGUCACACGGGCACUGAGACACGGGCCCGACUCCUACGGGAGGCAGCAGUAAGGAAUAUUGGUCAAUGGACGCAAGUCUGAACCAGCCAUGCCGCGUGGAGGAUGAAGGUCCUCUGGCAUUGUAAACUUCUUUUAUCUGGGAAGAAACCGGAC
Molecule: ribosomal RNA, 354 nt
Filed under: uncultured Saprospiraceae bacterium
Lineage: Bacteria; Pseudomonadati; Bacteroidota; Saprospiria; Saprospirales; Saprospiraceae
Description: bacterial SSU rRNA
Rfam family: Bacterial small subunit ribosomal RNA
Source: RNAcentral